UAGGGAAUCUUCGGCAAUGGACGAAAGUCUGACCGAGCAACGCCGCGUGGGUGAAGAAGGGUUUCGGAUCGUAAAACUCUGUUGUUUGAGAAGAACAAGGACGUUAGCAAAGGAACGUGUCCUGACGGUAUCUAACCAGAAAGCCACGGCUAACUACGUGCCAGCAGCCGCGGUAAUACGUAGGGGGCAAGCGUUGUCCGGAGUUAUUGGGCGUAAAGCGAGCGCAGGCGGUUUCUUAAGUCUGAUGUGAAAGCCACUGGCUCAACCGGGGGAGGUCAUGGGAAACUGGGAGACUUGAGUGCAGAAGAGGAGAGUGGAAUUCCGUGUGUAGCGGUGAAAUGCGUAGGUAUAUGGAGGAACACCAGUGGCGAAGGCGGCUCUCUGGUCUGUAACUGACGCUGAGGCUCGAAAGCGUGGGGAGCAAACUGG
Molecule: ribosomal RNA, 429 nt
Filed under: Gemmatimonadota bacterium
Lineage: Bacteria; Pseudomonadati; Gemmatimonadota
Description: Gemmatimonadetes bacterium partial 16S ribosomal RNA
Rfam family: Bacterial small subunit ribosomal RNA
Source: RNAcentral